GUUUCCGUAGUGUAGUGGUUAUCACGUUUGCCUAACACGCGAAAGGUCCCUGGUUCGAGUCCAGGCGGAAACA
RNAcentral lists this transfer RNA (73 nucleotides) under Saccoglossus kowalevskii. RNAcentral's name for it is "tRNA-Val". It matches the Rfam family "tRNA". Rfam says of the family: Transfer RNA (tRNA) molecules are approximately 80 nucleotides in length. Lineage: Eukaryota; Metazoa; Hemichordata; Enteropneusta; Harrimaniidae. The record is from RNAcentral.